Molecule: unclassified non-coding RNA, 211 nt
Filed under: plant metagenome
Description: partial contains small subunit ribosomal RNA, internal transcribed spacer 1, and 5.8S ribosomal RNA
Source: RNAcentral
UUUCCGUAGGUGAACCUGCGGAAGGAUCAUUCAUAAUAAAGUGUUUUAUGGCACUCUUUAAGAAUCCAUAUCCACCUUGUGUGCAAUGUUAGAUCUCGUCAAUCUUGGCGAGAUUUUUAUACAUCAACUCAUUCUUUAACUAAUUUGUCUGAAAAAUAUUAUGAAUACUUAAUUCAAAAUACAACUUUCAACAACGGAUCUCUUGGCUCUC